Molecule: long non-coding RNA, 562 nt
Organism: Salvia miltiorrhiza (redroot sage)
Lineage: Eukaryota; Viridiplantae; Streptophyta; Magnoliopsida; Lamiales; Lamiaceae
Exons: 2
Source: RefSeq, a predicted model, not a curated record
GAAAAAUCGGAUGGGGGUGUAUAUGUAAUUUUCACUAUUCAGAUAACUGUCAUUCCUAAAUUAACGUUCAGUAAAUAAGGAAUUCUCUCUCACUCCCCACGACUUUUGCAAACCACUUCCACUCAAUUCAGAGACCCUAGAGCAAACGCGAAUUCAUCUCUCUUCAAGAUUCGUCGCCACCGCCUCUUCGUUCUGUAAUCCAGCGACGUCGUCGCUCCGCCUAAGUCCGGCGCUUCCCUGCACUUUCGCCAACCGCCGCCAUGGUCUAAGAUCAGUAACUGGUUGUCGCGCGCAUCUGAAGGCUCUGCGGCGUGUCCAGAUUUCAUCCACUCGUCAGUACGGCGAUUCCGCUCUAGUGUGUGAAAUAUCAACGGCGGCUUGAAUCGUGUAGUUUCCGGCGGGGCUGCAUGAAAAGAUUACCAGUGCAUCUUUGAAAUUUGUUGUCUUGAAUCCAAAAUGGCGUAUUUGGACAAUGGUUGCUGGAGGUGGUGCGAGUGUAAUAUAUUUGUAGUUAUUCAGAAUAUUUGUUAAGUUUAUUCAGUAUAUAUUGCUUUUUUGUUUA